UACUUAUCAAUGGCGGGGGAGGGCCAGAGAGAGUGAAGUGCAUGAGCAAGGCCAGAGCGACUGCACACCCCAGCGAGCGUACACCCGGCGCAAACAGUCGCCGACACGGGCCUCUUCGCAGAGCACAUGCACAAAACGACAGUUUUAUAGUACGGUGGCGGUCAUUAAAGCGGUGGGGCGGCUCCCGUAAACACGUUUAAACGCACGCACAGGCACUCACCGCAGCACACCCACCAACUUAAACCGCAUUCUCACCCCUCCCGGGGGCUAACCCAUCCUUGGGAUCGGGUAAGAGGGGCGGCGCGGGGAGAGGGGAAGAGAUGGCGGCGGCGGCGGCGGUCGCGUCCGGCGCCUGUGCUGCUCCUCCGCCGGCCGUAGUGGCGCGCGGCGGGCCGGUUCCAGAAGAGGGCGCACGCGGUGGAGGAGCGGUUUGGAAAGGGGAUGCGCGCCGGGAGCGGCUGAACGAGAAGGAGCCGCCCCUCGUCGUCAUCGUCCGCCUCCGCGACACGAGCGCCUCCCCGACGUCUAGGGGCGGCUCGUCCGGCGCGACCACGAGCGGCGGCACGAGGGGCCGCUGCUGCUGCUUGGGCGUUGCCUUCCUCGACCGCGGAGGGGCGGGGGUAGAUAGGUGAGGCAGGUCCUCUGCUCUCCUUCCUCUUCGGUACGGGGCAGGUGACGCAGCACGCGCUGCUGGCCGACCCGAGACAAAGUCGUGGGGUUACGAACAGCCGCGAAGAAGCUGCUGGUGGGUCCGUGCGGUAGCGGAGAGAAGCUGGGGUUGCCUUCCCUGCUGAUUAAUUAGACAGGUCUAGGCUCCGUUCACUCCGGAACGAAGUGGGGAGAGGGGAAGUUCUUCCUACACGGGAAGGAGACGAGCAACAACGACGGCAGAAACUACAGAAGUCUGUAUACCAUCACUACAUGGUCAGUACCCACAGACCGAAACCAAAAGAAAGUCAAAAAGCCUACCCAAUGUUUUCGUACGUCUAUUACUCUCAACUUUAAGACUUAGAAACGCGGAAACCUAAUAUGAGACAAACGUUGUUCGACCCACGCUUCAUACGAAGACAAGGUCAACAGCUCGACUUCCUAGUGGGUCUAAAUACACUUCUAGAAGACUCUUUCUCGUUUACCGUAUAACGUGUUCUCGUACUCCACAAACGUGGUUAACGAAAGAAGUGUGGUGCCGGUACCGAAACGUGGAUAAGAUUGAGACCGUUCAUGGGCCACUAUAUACUUCGGUGGUCGAGAACACUACAUGGUAUAACAACCCUGGCCGUGGGAGCGCGGUUCCGCGCGACGGCUAGAUCAUUAGUGAUACUACUCGAGGCGAGGGCCGGGGAUCAAUGUGGUCGUCCCGAGCGGAGUAAGUCGGUCUGGUGCGAUGAUGCCCGUUGAGUAGAGUGAAACAGAGGGGUGCAAGUUGAGUUGGUUGGAACAACGGGGAAGAGGAGAGAUAGUAACCUUUUCAUAGUCCACGAGGGUUCAAAUCCUGUGUCGAGUUGUUCGGGAUUCUUGUUUUCCUGUGUGUUUUUGUGGCGGUGCCUGCUCAGGUUGGAUUAGUCCGAGGCCGCCGCCACCGCCUUCGCCCCCGCGGUACGCCUUCCGGUAGCUAGCUUCCAGCCACUCCUCCCACAGCUACUGCGAGGCCAGGACCCCCGCCGAUUCGCCGGCGGUUUCGACGUUUAUCGGUGUGUAAAACUUCUAGCGCAGCCCCUUCAACCAUAACGUGGUAACAGGCGGCUGGCAAAGUGCCUUCGUGCUGGUGUCCUUGAUCCGUCACCUCGUCAACUUCUUUUAUACCAAGCUUAGGAGUUGGCACCGCGUGUCCCCUGUGUAGGGCAGGGGUCCAGGUAAUGCGAACGCCUGAAGUUGGGCUCUCCCCUCUGCAAGGGCCCAGGUGACGAUCUCCUUUUAGGUCUAGAACUCCCCCUCCGCUUACAGGGUCUAGUCCGAUUUCCCGAGUCCCCGGCCGCUUCCCCGCUACCGCCGCAUGUCCCUGAAACACCUCUCACGGGGCUCCCGAGGUCCGCGGUGCGGUAACUCAGUAGCCGCGGGAGAUGUAGGUAGCCGUUCUCUCGCUACAGGACAUCUUCCCGCAGGGUGCGCAGUUGGAGGACCCCCGGUUUCCACGCGGAUUUCCGCUCUGCGGGAUUCAGUUAUUCCCGGCAGAGCUGCCUUUAGGACCCCAGUUGGCGUUACCGCUUAUUAGGGCCCUUCGCCCGCCGGUCUCCCCUCAGGAGUUCAGUCGCCAGCUUGGUUUUGUCCCAGCUCCUGGGCCUUGGGUGGCUCUAUCUUCACGGUUAAGCCGCGUGCCCCUCGUCGACU
This 2328-nucleotide ribosomal RNA is filed under the name Triticum aestivum (bread wheat). RNAcentral describes it as "partial small subunit ribosomal RNA". Lineage: Eukaryota; Viridiplantae; Streptophyta; Magnoliopsida; Poales; Poaceae. The record is from RNAcentral.